Molecule: long non-coding RNA, 602 nt
Organism: Camellia sinensis
Lineage: Eukaryota; Viridiplantae; Streptophyta; Magnoliopsida; Ericales; Theaceae
Source: RefSeq, a predicted model, not a curated record
GACGCCCUAUUUAAACGUUCGUUGUUUCAGAGACCUUGACGAAGCUCUCAUCAAUGGCGGACCCAAACCUAACCGAUGAUCGAUUGAUUAAGGCCGCUUUGACUGGAUGAAGAAUCGGAGGGACUUCCAUUGCAAUUAUGUCAUCGCAGGCUGGCCAGUUGGCUCUAAUGGCAGGAAAGGUUGCUUGGAGGAUUGAAAGAAGACUUACAGCAGGUUUGGCACGACGUUUGGUGAGAGGAAAAAGGCGAGUACCGGCUCCACCUCCCAGUAUGACUGCCACAACUGUUCUCGGGUCCCUUUUCUCCAUCUCUAGGUUCCUCAACUGCACAAAAACACAUUUAUAUUGGCAGUUACGUAGGUGUGUACAACUGCAAAACAGAAAUAUUAUGUAUCCCAAAAAAAUGCUCAGAAUUUGAAAUGUGUGGAUCAAAUUUAUCCACCAAAUUUAAAUCUAUACUAUUCAAAUUCUAAGUAUUUUUUCUAAGUUGAUGAACAACAGUACUUGACUCUGAAACUAAUCAGAUCAUAUAUAAUUAUGUAUAUAGUUUAUUAUAUGAAACACGUGACUUACUUGAUGAAGCUAUGUCAUGCAAUUUUUCAUA